CCUGGAAAAGGAAGAAUAAUGUUGAUUUACAACUAAAAAAUUGUUUGGUGAAGAGAAUAUGAGAAUUAUUGUAAAGAACAGAAAAAAUUAAAAUGGGCAGUUAAAUGAGUUUGACAGUGAAAAAUAAGAAUUACAAGAAUCAGUGUUAAUACGAAUAGUAAUAAACAGAAUAAAAAUGAAAAAGAAUAAAGGUUAUGAAUAUAUUUAAGUAGAAAACGAAUCCAAGUAUAUACGAGGUGAGAUUAAAAAAUAAGUUUGCUGAAAAUAAAGAAUGUUUAUUUUUCCAAUUAAUUAUUUGAAAUUGCAUUAUUAUACGAGACCAUGGCGACGAAAUAAGUUAUUUUUUCACGAUUCAGUCAAAAUUGGAUUUGGUAGUGACUACACAACAGAAAUGACUACUGCACCACAAAACUGAUAAAUUGUAUAUCGAUUAUAUAAUUUUUGAAAUUAUAUUUAGCCAUGUCCUGUAAUUAUUAAAUAAUGGCGGGUUCGCUCCGUUUGGAGGGAUCUAUGGAUAGGAUGGGAAAAUAAAUAUUUUAUAUUUUUUAUGAUAUAUUUUUUUGUAAUUCCAUUUUUAAGAAUAUAAAUUAAAAUUC
Long non-coding RNA from Diorhabda sublineata, 596 nucleotides. RefSeq lists it as uncharacterized. The transcript is spliced from 2 exons. The record is from RefSeq and is a predicted model, not a curated record. NCBI's taxonomy places the organism in Eukaryota, Metazoa, Arthropoda, Insecta, Coleoptera, Chrysomelidae.